UCGGGGGCAGAGUGACAGGUGGUGCAUGGUUGUCGUCAGCUCGUGUCGUGAGAUGUUGGGUUAAGUCCCGCAACGAGCGCAACCCUUGAUCUUAGUUGCCAGCAUUCAGUUGGGCACUCUAAGGUGACUGCCGGUGACAAACCGGAGGAAGGUGGGGAUGACGUCAAAUCAUCAUGCCCCUUAUGACCUGGGCUACACACGUGCUACAAUGGGCAGAACAAAGGGCAGCGAAGCCGCGAGGCUAAGCCAAUCCCACAAAUCUGUUCUCAGUUCGGAUCGCAGUCUGCAACUCGACUGCGUGAAGCUGGAAUCGCUAGUAAUCGCGGAUCAGCAUGCCGCGGUGAAUACGUUCCCGGGCCUUGUACACACCGCCCGUCACACCACGAGAGUUUGUAACACCCGAAGUCGGUGAGG
RNAcentral lists this ribosomal RNA (414 nucleotides) under Bacillus sp. (in: firmicutes). RNAcentral describes it as "bacterial SSU rRNA". It matches the Rfam family "Bacterial small subunit ribosomal RNA", at positions 1020 to 1435 of the family's 1533-position model. The record is from RNAcentral. Lineage: Bacteria; Bacillati; Bacillota; Bacilli; Caryophanales; Bacillaceae.